AGUGAACGAGGGCGGUAGGCCUAACACAUGCAAGUCGAACGGCAGCACAGUAAGAGCUUGCUCUUACGGGUGGCGAGUGGCGGACGGGUGAGGAAUACAUCGGAAUCUACUUUUUCGUGGGGGAUAACGUAGGGAAACUUACGCUAAUACCGCAUACGACCUACGGGUGAAAGCAGGGGAUCUUCGGACCUUGCGCGAUUGAAUGAGCCGAUGUCGGAUUAGCUAGUUGGCGGGGUAAAGGCCCACCAAGGCGACGAUCCGUAGCUGGUCUGAGAGGAUGAUCAGCCACACUGGAACUGAGACACGGCCCAGACUCCUACGGGAGGCAGCAGUGGGGAAUAUUGGACAAUGGGCGCAAGCCUGAUCCAGCCAUACCGCGUGGGUGAAGAAGGCCUUCGGGUUGUAAAGCCCUUUUGUUGGGAAAGAAAAGCAGCAGGUUAAUACCCCGCUGUUCUGACGGUACCCAAAGAAUAAGCACCGGCUAACUUCGUG
This 492-nucleotide ribosomal RNA is filed under the name uncultured bacterium. Its description in RNAcentral is "partial 16S ribosomal RNA". It matches the Rfam family "Bacterial small subunit ribosomal RNA", at positions 29 to 507 of the family's 1533-position model. The record is from RNAcentral.